AAACCAAUACGAAAUUUUGCGUUUGAAUAUGUAUUAUGAAGUUGUAAUAUAGCUUUUACUGUUUUUACUAGCUCAACCUGCUGUAGCUUUUGCAGCACUGAAUAUUUUGCUUGGCCUUCGGUCAACGUUCAUUUGCUACUAUUUUCUGCUGAAAAGGUUUUUUUCUUCUUCAUACUUCAGGGCAAGAACUUGAAGAAAUCUAAGUCAAUUUCAACUCUAGAGGAGAGACAAGAAAAACGAUGGCUGAUAUUCCUGCUUUAGCAAUUCUCUUAGGCAACAUGAUGGAGACAAUUUCAUACAACACUGAUUUAAUCGGAAGAGCCAUGAGCAAUGACCUCAAGGGCUUGUGCGAUGAUCUUGCUGUGUUGAAAGCCUCUAUCAAGCAUUACCCUGAAUGGCAGAAGGACAAGGGAGCCAUCAAGAACUUGGAGAACGAAAUCAGGGACGUUGUUUUUGAAGCUGAAAAUGCAAUUGACACAUACAUACUUCAUGCGUCUAAUCAAAGACACAGAGGCUUUCUUGCCAGAGCUUUUCACACGACUGAGAGCGCGUCUGUGCUUCGCAGUUUGGGGAAACGGAUUGCACAAGUACGUGCGCAAGUACAGAACAUUCAACGAAGCGAUUUGCCGAGCAUUGGCCUUGAUGCCUUGCAAUUUGAUGAGAUCUCCUAUAUGAGAACCAAGAAACAGACUCCUUUGUUCGGGGCAGACAAAGUGAUUGGCUUCGUGGAUUCGGCCAAGGAUGUAAUCGAACUUCUCACAGGUAGAUCGCAGCGACAAUCAGACCAAUUGGAGGUAAUCUCAAUCGUUGGGAUGCCUGGGAUCGGCAAAACAACAUUAGCCAGAAAGGUCCUUAGUGACCCAAUGAUUGACUAUGAAUUCUUUACAAAAGUAUUCGUUCAUGUUUCUCAAGAUUGGGAGAGAAAAGAUGUCUUCCUGAGUAUUCUCACUUCAUUUACUCGUAUCGAUGAAGCAAUGAAUAGGAUGUCAGAUGAUGCAUUAGCUGAUGAAGUGCGACAGCGUCUAAAAUAUAAGUAUUUGAUCGUGAUAGAUGAUCUAUGGUCCAAUGAUGCAUGGGACAAAUUGAAGUCUGCUUUUCCUGACAACAAGAAGGGUAGCAGAGUGUUAAUAACUACUCGAAAUGUAGCUGUAGCUCAUUAUGCCAAUACAAAAAAUGAACCCUAUUACUUGGGAUUCCUGUCACCAGAAGAAAGUAGGGAGCUGCUCCGAUAUAAAGUUUUUGAUGGGAAUAAUUGCCCCGAAGAACUACAGGCAUACGAGGCCAAGAUCCUGGAUAGAUGCGCUGGAUUACCUCUAGCAAUUGUAGUAGUUGCUGGGAUACUCCGGAAUAACAGCAAAGCUACACAUUGGUGGAUGAGUGUGGCUGAAAAUGUGCAUGAUUAUGUUGCCAAGAAUGAUGAACUAGGCAAUGAUGUGAUUAGGAGGAGUUACAACCACUUGCCCUACAACUUGAAGCCAUGCUUUCUCUAUUUUGGGGUUUUUCCUGAAUACUUUGAAAUCCCAGCAUGGAAGUUAAUCCGCUUGUGGAUUUCUGAAGGGUUCAUAGAGCACCAAAGAUUCAUGAACAUGGAGGAUGUGGCAGAGUUUUACCUACAGGAAUUGGUCGAUCGGAGCUUAGUGAUGAUCGGGCAGAAGAGAUCAGAUGGCCGAAUUAAAACAUGUCGUAUGAACAACAUGUUGCAAGAUUUUUGCAAGAAACAGGCUGUGGAAGAAAAUAUUUUCCGAGAAAUAAAAAGGUUUGAUGAAUCUACCUCUGCACCUUACUCUUCUUCUCACAAUGCCCGUCGCCUUUGCAUUCAUCCCCAUAACCUAGAGCAUAUUAAAGUAAAACCUACCGGUGAUUAUGUUCGAUCAUUUCUGAGCUUUGCCAAGGAACAAAUUCAGUUACCUCAAGAGCAUAUCUCAUUCAUCCCUAAGGCAUUUAAACUAUUGAAAGUUUUAGACAUUGGAUCCAUCAUUUUUAGUCGUUUCCCAGCUGAAUUCUUUUACCUCUUGCUAUUGAAGUACAUUGCAAUCUCUUGCCACUUCAAAGUCUUCCCUGGAAAGCUAUCUACUCUGCUGAACCUACAAACAAUUAUAAUAGAUACAUCCUUGCGAGCCCUCGAAAUAAAAGCUGACAUAUGGAAGAUGCCACAACUAAGGCAUUUACAUACUAACUGCUCCACAUCCAUACCAAAAGGUAAGGAAGACAGCUUAAUUAAUCCAAACCUUCAAACUCUCUCUAUGAUAUCACCUGAAUGUUGUAAAAGGGAAGUGUUUGAAAGGACUCCAAAUCUCAGGAAAUUGGGCAUUCGUGGGAGAUUAGGAACUGUUAUAGAGGAGAUAUUUGACAGCUUGUUUAGACUCAAUUUCCUUGAAAACUUGAAGCUUCUGAAUGAAGACACAACCACCAGGUUAGACUCCCUUCCUCAAGAGUACAAGUUCCCCAGGAAUUUAACGAGGCUGACACUUGAAAAUACCUCACUUGAUUGGAAAUAUAUGUCUAUACUGGGAAAGCUGCAGAUUCUUGAAGUGCUCAAGUUGAAGAAUAAUGCAUUUCUUGGAAGAUAUUGGGACACAGAAGAUGGGGGUUUUCGUUGCCUCAGAGUUCUGCACAUAGGCCGCACAGAUUUAGUUGUGUGGAAAGCUUCAGCUAGUAAUUUCCCAUCAUUGAGAUCCCUCUUUCUUAGACACUGUGAUAGGCUUGAGGCCAUCCCAUCUGGUCUUGGAGAUAUAUCAAGCUUCCAAGUGAUUGACCUUUAUUGUACUAAUCGUUCAGUGGCUAGCUCAGCUAAGAGGAUUGAGCUUCUAAAACUUCGAUUAAAAGCAGAGCAAGAAAGCAGCAAAGAUAGCUCAUUUAAGCUUUCUGUUUAUCCUCCUGAAUAUUGAUGGCAAGGUGAACAAGCUGAAUCAUUACUUCUUCAAUGGUCAGUGACAUUAAUGAUGAUAUCAAAUAUCUGUAUCGUUUUGCUCAGCCCGUUGAUGGUGAGACAAUCAAGUUGAAGAACAUUUCAGGAUUUGAAGAAUUCACAAGCUGACCUGGAAAUUAAAAAAUCUCAGCUGAGCAUAAUUUGUGCAAAAGAUCAAAAUCUUUUUCAUUCUCUCAACUAUUUGAUUGUCAUGGAGAGCUAGUCUUGCAUUCACAAAAUUUCAGAUUGUAAAUAUGCAAGCCACUCCUGCUUGGUGUAAAUUUUUAUCUCUUUUGUUUCUUUUUCCGGUGAUCUAAAUUCUCUUUUUUGGACAUCUUUCACGAGUAAGUCUUAUAUGUACACUGACCUACUGUUGAAUCAUAACAUAUGUAUAAAGGUUAAAUUUUAAAUUAAAA
This is an RNA transcript of Coffea arabica (coffee), 3324 nucleotides long. It is a transcript of the gene named putative late blight resistance protein homolog R1B-16, with no coding region annotated. Lineage: Eukaryota; Viridiplantae; Streptophyta; Magnoliopsida; Gentianales; Rubiaceae. The record is from RefSeq and is a predicted model, not a curated record.